AUGUCUGGGAAACUGCCCGAUGGAGGGGGAUAACUACUGGAAACGGUAGCUAAUACCGCAUAACGUCGCAAGACCAAAGAGGGGGACCUUAGGGCCUCUUGCCAUCGGAUGUGCCCAGAUGGGAUUAGCUUGUAGGUGAGGUAACGGCUCACCUAGGCGACGAUCCCUAGCUGGUCUGAGAGGAUGACCAGCCACACUGGAACUGAGACACGGUCCAGACUCNUACGGGAGGCAGCAGUGGGGAAUAUUGCACAAUGGGCGCAAGCCUGAUGCAGCCAUGCCGCGUGUAUGAAGGAGGCCUUCGGGUUGUAAAGUACUUUCAGCGGGGAGGAAGGGAGUGAGGUUAAUAACCUCAUUCAUUGACGUUACCCGCAGAAGAAGCACCGGCUAACUCCGUGCCAGCAGCCGCGGUAAUACGGAGGGUGCAAGCGUUAAUCGGAAUUACUGGGCGUAAAGCGCACGCAGGCGGUCUG
RNAcentral lists this ribosomal RNA (473 nucleotides) under uncultured bacterium. RNAcentral's name for it is "bacterial SSU rRNA". It matches the Rfam family "Bacterial small subunit ribosomal RNA", at positions 113 to 582 of the family's 1533-position model. The record is from RNAcentral.